Non-coding RNA from Cinara cedri, 306 nucleotides. The record is from the annotation of a GenBank genome assembly. NCBI's taxonomy places the organism in Eukaryota, Metazoa, Arthropoda, Insecta, Hemiptera, Aphididae.
AAAAAGCAAGCAGGACAUAAAUCGCUCUGCGAGGAUCCACAAUAAACUAUGGUUACUGUGCCUGGGUGCCUGGAAAUUUAAAAACAGCAAUUUUUUUUUUUCAAGAUACGACGCGAGCGAAUUCGGAGCAUUUCGUUUUAAUAUUGGAUAAAUGAAAAAAAUUAUUUCUAUAUUUAACGAUCUCCUUCUAAACUUCCAGAAGUAUACCUAUAAAAUAACUCUAAUUCCCAAUUUUGAGAUAAUUUGAUCUAAGGGAAACUACUGAAUAUGGUAUAAAAACUAAAUACAGUGCACUAAUCUUUGUUU